This 739-nucleotide long non-coding RNA is filed under the name Suricata suricatta (meerkat). RNAcentral's name for it is "lncRNA (ENSSSUG00005009364.1)". Lineage: Eukaryota; Metazoa; Chordata; Mammalia; Carnivora; Herpestidae. The record is from RNAcentral.
AUCAGAAUGGCCAUCUCUUCACUAAAACGUAGUACUUCAAGACAAUGUCAUGUUUCUUCUUUCAGAUAUUCUCCUACUACUCUUGUGUUAGCCAUCUCUGAGGUGGAUGAUAACCAGGUUGGCAAGUUUAGCUUUUAUACAAAGGAAGCCAUCCUUAAGCUCUUAUUCCAUUCAGGAGUGGAAAAUAUGCAAGUGACCCUUGCAUGCCAAGCUGCUCAGAAAAAUGCUUUGAUGGUGGCUGUCCAACAGGCAUCCUUCUAUCACAUGUCCCGAUGGGGUUGUUCUGCUGAUGUGAAGGAAACAAGUUCAGAUCUGAGAAAUCGUGGUGGAAUCGGUCCAGUCAGAAGAAGAAAUUCUGGAAUUGUGAAUGGCAUAGAAAACUUCUUGUUAGCCCCAACUCCAAAAGUUCCAGACGCCCUUACUCAUCAUUCAGAAAGACUCCAGGCUACCAAAAGGGCGCCAGAGGCCUUUGUGUCUAUUCAACUAGAAAAGGUGGGGCUGCGGGACAUGAUGCUGAACGCCUUCCUUCUCAGGAAACAAACCAUGGGCGACAGAAUGAAGAACCAUGAUGAAAUUGGUAAAGUCAAGAGAGACGUUAUAAUUGAAUAUUGCCAGAGGUAAGUAUAGUAUAUAUGAACAGCAUAUGUUGAUUUCUCUGACUUUGAAUUCAAUAAACUGCAGUGUUACACAGAAAUCUAGUAAAGUUUUUGUGUUAUUCUCAGACAGCUCUACUUCCCUG